AGUUAAUUAGCUUAAGAAAAGCCUAUAUUUUGAAAAUAUAACAAAAAGGUUUAAUUCCUUUAUUAACUU
RNAcentral lists this transfer RNA (69 nucleotides) under Panstrongylus rufotuberculatus. RNAcentral's name for it is "tRNA-Ser". It matches the Rfam family "tRNA". From Rfam's summary of the family: Transfer RNA (tRNA) molecules are approximately 80 nucleotides in length. Lineage: Eukaryota; Metazoa; Arthropoda; Insecta; Hemiptera; Reduviidae. The record is from RNAcentral.